This is a long non-coding RNA of Panicum virgatum (switchgrass), 734 nucleotides long. RefSeq lists it as uncharacterized. The record is from RefSeq and is a predicted model, not a curated record. The transcript has 2 exons. Lineage: Eukaryota; Viridiplantae; Streptophyta; Magnoliopsida; Poales; Poaceae.
AGCCCACACAGCCCGUACAGCCUGCAUAUCUCGCAUCGCUCUUCCACCUCCUACAGCAGCCACUAUCGCGGCCGCGCUCCGUAGCGCCGCCACCAUGGUCCAUGGAUAACCCUAGCUCAGUCCCAUCGCUGCCACCGUUGCCGUCGUCCGCGCACGGCCGCGCCUAUGUGCUCGUCUUCGACCGUCGCCGCCGCGGCCAUAGCACAUCGUGAGGCAAUCAAGGGGAGGAGGAAGCCAUCACAACUGUCGUCUGCUGAUCCUCGUUCAUGGUUAUCCCAUUUCAUUUUUUUGGUCAGCCUACCAGCUUUACUUUGAUAUAAUUGUUUUCUGAAUAUGAUCUGUUUCUGAAUGUUUCUUCAUGCAGGACCACAUGUCCACAUCAAUUUCCUGCGCUGACUAAUCCAUCCAUCUUCAUCCGCUAUCAGCUCUAGGACCUGCCGAAGAUGGAGUCAUGCCUAAACCAGGCUCAGCAAGCUUUUGUUUCGUUUCUUGCAUAGUUUUCUACAUGCAGCUGUCAAUCAAAUUUCUGCUUCACGUGGCACAUAGAACCCCCAAAAAAACUGGCUGUUAUUAAGUAGUUGAAAUUGUGUAAUUGGGAGAUGGUUGUUUGCCUUGGUAAAAACUUCCAGUUUAGCUUGAUAAAAGAUCCUUUGAGUGAUAUGAUGUCCUUUGAAGGUAGCAACAGGUAUGCAGAUUAUAUUCCUUUUGAGCAGUGCAUCUGAGAAUUGAUUUUA